AGCUCCAAUAGCGUAUAUUAAAGUUGUUGCAGUUAAAAAGCUCGUAGUUGGAUUUCUGGUUUGAUGCCCUGGCCCGCUGCUAUUUUGGUAGUGUGUGCCGGUUGUGCGUCUGCCAUCCUUCUAGGGAACGUUCCUUCUCUUCACUGAGCCGGGUUCGUGAUCUAGAUCGUUUACUUUGAAAAAAUUAGAGUGUUUAAAGCAGGCUUUUGCUAUGAAUACAUUAGCAUGGAAUAAUAAUCUAGGACUUCGGUGCUAUUUUGUUGGUUUCUAGAACUGAAGUAAUGAUUGAUAGGGAUAGUUGGGGGUGCUAGUAUUGAGCGGCCAGAGGUGAAAUUCUUGGAUUCGCUCAAGACUAACUUAUGCGAAAGCAUUCACCAAGGAUGUCUUCUUUA
RNAcentral lists this ribosomal RNA (392 nucleotides) under Ebria sp. RNAcentral describes it as "partial small subunit ribosomal RNA". It matches the Rfam family "Eukaryotic small subunit ribosomal RNA", at positions 587 to 975 of the family's 1831-position model. Lineage: Eukaryota; Cercozoa; Thecofilosea; Ebriacea. The record is from RNAcentral. RNAcentral also lists the same sequence under 1 other name.